CGCUCCUCCCCCGGCCCCGCCUCCCUGGCCCCCGCGCCGCCCGCCCGUCCGCCCGUCUCCGCAAGGCCAUCGGUCCGUCCGCCCGCCCUCCCAGCGCUCCUCGCCCCGGCCCCGCUACUCCGGCAGCGCGCGUCGCUUCCUCCGUUCCGGCCGCCGCUAGCCCGUCCCCCGCCCCCGGUCCGGCCGCCGCCGCUACGCGAGGCCGGGGAUUGGCAGCGCGCGUAGGCCGCGCCGCCGCGGAUGGAGCCGGAAUAAAGGGGCGGCCGAGAGAGCAGCUGGUCGCCGCUCGCCCCGCGCCUGCCCUGCAGGCGGCCUGGAGCAGGAAGGCUUAGAGAACCGAGUGGUACCUGCUUGCUCAAGCAACCUGCUGCCUCCACCCAGAGCAGCCGCUCCUCUCCUCCCUCCCUUCCGGAAGAUGCUGAGGAUGACAGCGUUUAGCCUGACUCUUACAUUUCUUUGGCAGAGCAGUUAGAGGCCAGGCUGGCCUGUGAACGCUUCUCCUUCCUUCUUCCUCUGCUCAGGAGAAAACUUACAAACUUUUAAAUGUAAGAGGCAGAUGAGCUGGGAACCUGGAAGUGGGUUGCAUCUGACUCUGAAAGUUCCUCCCUCUCGCUGGCAUUACCUUAUGCUGCCACAAAGUGGUGAGUUAGAGAUUUGCCUGGGCUGGGUGGGCUUUACCUUCCAACAAUUACCCAGAAUGUUAUAGGCUUGGAGUAAGAGAAUGGAGUUAUCUCUAGAGAGGUGAUGAGAAAUGCUCUGUGGUUAGCGUGCUGCAUCCUGCAUUGCCAAGGCAAACCAGUGCAGUUUCUUACAUUUUCCUGCAGGCCUUGACACUAUGAGAUUCAGAGGAUUUAGGACUUUGUGUGUGUGUAUGUGUGUGUGUGUGUGUGUGAGAGAGAGAGAGAGAGAGAGAGUGAGUUCUGGGAGAAAACUAGAGUGAGGAAGUUCUGCUGUGUGGACAUCAAGCCUGGGUGGUUCUGUGGCCCUGUCAUCUAGCCCCCAUCACCUAUGGGUUCUGGUCUCUGCAGGGCCACCAUCCUGUCAUGUGGGGAGAGAAUGGGCUGUGGUCAGGGAUAGUUGAGGGGGUGUGGUCAGUCCCUGAUAGGUGAGGGUUUUUGAAAUGGUCCUUGGUUCCAUGAAGUUGUCCUAAAUAUCUACUGUCAGAGGCCAUUUGCCACUGGGCUGUCAGACCUGGGGGGUCUGGCCUCCUCAGGUGUAAGUAGUGGUGUCCCGGAUUGAGACUCAGGGUAGUGACAAAAGAGGAGCUGCGGGCCUCAAGGAGGAUUCUGUAUUGUAGGCAGAUAACCCCAGACUCUCACCUGUGAGUCUCAG
RNAcentral lists this long non-coding RNA (1332 nucleotides) under Theropithecus gelada (gelada). Its description in RNAcentral is "lncRNA (ENSTGEG00000001357.1)". Lineage: Eukaryota; Metazoa; Chordata; Mammalia; Primates; Cercopithecidae. The record is from RNAcentral.